AAUAGCCUAACGGCUGAACCAGCAACUUGGAGGAAUGAAUAGCAAUAGCUAAUUACACAUACAUAUGAUGUAAUAUCGACUCCGUCGAAUAAAAUUCUGGCUAGAAUUAUGAUAAUGACAUUAUCUAGCUAUGUGUCUUGACUAAAUUACGUGCCAGCAGUCGCGGUAAUACGUAGAAGACUAGUGUUAUUCAUCUUUAAUAGGUUUAAAGGGUACCCAGACGGUAAAUCAAGCCUUAGACGGAACUAAUUUGCUAGAGUUACUUACGCGGGGGCUAUGAAGUACUAAUGGUGUAGAGAUAAAAUUUUGUAAUACCAUUUUUCGAAAGAAAAGUUAUGGCACUGGUAAAGGCGAAAGCAUCCCCUUAUGUGAUAACUGACGUUGAAGGACGAAGGCUUUGGGUCGCAAAUAGGAUUAGAUACCCUAGUAGUCAAAGGAGAAAAUUAUGAGUGUCAUAGAUUAGAAAUUAAGUUUUAUUCUAUAAAUGAAAGUGUAAGCACUCCACCUCAAGAGUAAUUUGGCAACAUUGGAACUGAAAUCAUUAGACCGUUUCUGAAACCAGUAGUGAAGUAUGUUGUUUAAUUUGAUGAUCCGCAAAAAACCUUACCACAGCUUGAAUAUUUAUAUUUUUCAUAUAUUUACAAGCGUUGCACGGCUGUCUUCAGUUAAUGUCGUGAGACUUUGGUUAGAUCCAUUAAAUUAACGUAAGCCCUUACUUUAUUUAUAAAUAAAGUCGUUCCCCACUAUAUUGGAUAUGAUAACAGGGACUAAGACAAGUCUUCAUGGCCUGAAUGCUGU
Molecule: ribosomal RNA, 798 nt
Filed under: Phyllopsora longiuscula
Lineage: Eukaryota; Fungi; Ascomycota; Lecanoromycetes; Lecanorales; Ramalinaceae
Description: SSU rRNA
Rfam family: Bacterial small subunit ribosomal RNA
Source: RNAcentral